GAUGAACGCUGGCGGCGUGCCUAAUACAUGCAAGUCGAGCGAACAGACGAGGAGCUUGCUCCUCUGACGUUAGCGGCGGACGGGUGAGUAACACGUGGAUAACCUACCUAUAAGACUGGGAUAACUUCGGGAAACCGGAGCUAAUACCGGAUAAUAUAUUGAACCGCAUGGUUCAAUAGUGAAAAACGGUUUUGCUGUCACUUAUAGAUGGAUCCGCGCCGCAUUAGCUAGUUGGUAAGGUAACGGCUUACCAAGGCAACGAAGCGUAGCCGACCUGAGAGGGUGAUCGCCCACACUGGAACUGAGACACGGUCCAGACUCCUACGGGAGGCAGCAGUAGGGAAUCUGCCGCAAUGGGCGAAAGCCUGACGGAGCAACGCCGCGUGAGUGAUGAAGGUCUUCGGAUCGUAAAACUCUGUUAUUAGGGAAGAACAAAUGUGUAAGUAACUAUGCACGUCUUGACGGUACCUAAUCAGAAAGCCACGGCUAACUACGUG
Molecule: ribosomal RNA, 497 nt
Filed under: uncultured bacterium
Lineage: Bacteria
Description: partial 16S ribosomal RNA
Rfam family: Bacterial small subunit ribosomal RNA
Source: RNAcentral